This is a long non-coding RNA of Diceros bicornis minor, 254 nucleotides long. RefSeq lists it as uncharacterized. The record is from RefSeq and is a predicted model, not a curated record. NCBI's taxonomy places the organism in Eukaryota, Metazoa, Chordata, Mammalia, Perissodactyla, Rhinocerotidae. The transcript is spliced from 4 exons.
GUGCCCCAGAGGAUCACCCAGCUUUGUCCACGUGGAGCUCAUCCUACCAAUGAUAUGAUGGCUGUGAUUGUCAACAUCGUAUGGGGAAGACCAAGUCCACGCUUCAUCCUGGAUCAGCUGCUACCACUAGGAAGAGAAUCACUACCCAGUCUCAGCCUGGGGUCAGGAGAGUCGGAAGGCUUACAAGACUCAGCAGGAGUGCUGGAACAUGGGUUCAACACAGAAGCCUAUUUUAAGAAGCUGAAAAAUAGGGG